Molecule: long non-coding RNA, 913 nt
Filed under: Olea europaea (common olive)
Lineage: Eukaryota; Viridiplantae; Streptophyta; Magnoliopsida; Lamiales; Oleaceae
Description: long non-coding RNA (OEUR_LNC007036)
Source: RNAcentral
ACAAUUUCAAUCAAAUCCCUACUGUUUAAUUACGAUAUCUUGUACAAAUGCAAAUCAAACUCUGAUAAUACUUUCGUCGUCGUUUUCCUUCAUUAAGAUGGAAAAGAAUAAUACCCAGCAAAUAUGAGGCUUCCACAUUUAAACAUGAAAUAAAUUUAUAAAAUGGGGAUUUAAAGAAAUUCUUUUACCUGGGUUUUGAGCCAUGACUAGGAUUCUUUGAAUUGAAGCAGCAAUUUCAACGUGAAAUGAAGCGUCCCUGGUGAAGGGGAUUAUCAUUAACAGCAAAAUAAGUGAGCGCUAUAUUGAAAUUUUGCACAAUAAUUCCCAUUUUCAGUAGUGAUAAAUGAAAAUUGUGUACCAACAGAUUUUCUCCAUGUUUGAGUAUGAGAAUAUUAACAUACUCAUGAUGAUUGAGAAACGGAUUGAUUCUAACAUCUGGAAUGAACAAAAACUGAAUUCAGUUUUUCAUCAAAAUCUAAGGGAAUAAAUGGACCUAUUUUUUCAUGCUUAACCAGUGAUUCAUUAACACAUUGCAUUUAUUUCCUACACACGCUGCUUCCCCUACAUACUUCAAAUUGAAAAUUAGCUCAUAUUCAAAGAAUAUUGUCAAGAGAAAAAGAAAGUAAAUAAUUUAUCAGCUUUGAAAUCGAAAGAGUAAAUAUGUGAAUCAAUAAAUCAAACCGAAGCCUAAAAAAAUCUAAGUUUUUUCAUCUCCACCACUCCUGAUUUUCACUUGCGCGAAUUUAAAAUCAAGAUCCAGCAGAAAACUACGUAGAUGAAAAACAAUUCUGGAAAUUUUUCGUGAAUUUUUAUUGCUUGAAGAAGAGAAGUCAUGUCCAGAAAGAAAAUGGAGAGAAUCCAUCACACGGCCUGAUGAAUGAGAUAUGAAUGAAGUUAGGGAUUUGAAAUGGGG